CCCUUCUCAGGAUCGCAUCUGGAAAGUUUCCAGUAUUCUACCAGUCUCGGCUAAAGGAGGGAGAGUCAAGCAGAGACACCCCCAUUCCAUUUCUAGCUUGGGCAGGGACUAGAGACCCAUUCCAUUCCUACCUUGGGUAGGGGCUAGCGAGUGGAAGGCAAUCUGCUACAAAU
Molecule: non-coding RNA, 173 nt
Organism: Ornithorhynchus anatinus (platypus)
Lineage: Eukaryota; Metazoa; Chordata; Mammalia; Monotremata; Ornithorhynchidae
Source: Rfam